ACAAGAUGCACUAAUUUUAGGACU
RNAcentral lists this microRNA (24 nucleotides) under Amborella trichopoda. RNAcentral's name for it is "atr-miR8567". The record is from miRBase by way of RNAcentral. Lineage: Eukaryota; Viridiplantae; Streptophyta; Magnoliopsida; Amborellales; Amborellaceae.